Lolium perenne is the source of this 3716-nucleotide long non-coding RNA. RefSeq lists it as uncharacterized. NCBI's taxonomy places the organism in Eukaryota, Viridiplantae, Streptophyta, Magnoliopsida, Poales, Poaceae. The record is from RefSeq and is a predicted model, not a curated record.
AGCCACUUCUUUCCAAACCCUAGUUCUAUUUCUUCCGCACAACGCCGCCACUCCUCUCUUCUCCUCGUCGCUGAUCUGUCCUUCCGUGCUCCGUGCUCGCCCGUCGCUCCUCGUCUACAUCCGGGAGAGGCCGUUGUCUUCCAGUCCAUCGUCGUCCACGACCUCGCGUCGUUACAUCACACUCCGGAGCUGCUCUUCGUCAAUCCCGCGUGCGACGCCAAGCUCUGCGAUCGUCGGCGUCGGCUCGACCAAAUCCUCCCGACGUGCUAAGCCGCGCGCGUGUGCUGCAUUACGCCCGUCCGGUGCCGCUGUUCCGCGCCCGCCGCUCGUCUCCGUUCACGUACAUCUGCGUGAGCCCGCCGCUGGCUCGGUCCCCGUGCUCUACCUCGCCAUCGACGGCUGCUCCGUCUGCAAGCCGGCGCCUUGCGCUGCACCAUCUCCGUCGCCGUCGCCCUCCGCAGCCAGCACCACCGCCGGCCCAUGUACUGCUUCAACCCUCGCUCGAGCACGUCGGCGUCAUCGUCCCUAUCGCGCCGGCCGGCCGCUCAUCAAGUUCUCCGUGUGUUGUCGUCAUUGGCGUAGGCAGAACUAUUCAUGGGUAUGCAAUGCAUACCCAAUAUGUUUUGCAAAAAAAAUUUAGUAUAUAUGCUCUCCCGCGGCCACACUUAUCAACCUGGGCCUAAAAAACGAAUUUUGCUGUCUCUCGGGAUGCCUAGCCUCAUCAAGUCACCGUGGCCUUUUAAUUUUAUGCCUCGUGUGCUGGGUCUUUGGAACGGAACAGCCAAGGCAACUAAACUGGGACAGACAUAUUGCCUUCCAUCGUGGCCUGCGAAUCAGGGAUCGGGCGAUCGCGUCGCCAACUCGCCAUCUCGCCUAUCGCCGGGCGCCGCCGGCCGACGCGCCUUGCAGUUGUGCCCCUGCCCGCUGCCGCAUCCGUUGAGUUAUCUUCCCCUAUUCUGCUUCUCCAGUUCUCCCGUUCCCGUUUUCCGCGUAUCUGACUGAAUCCCGCAGUCCCGUUAUCUGAUUUACCCUCAAUUGAGAUGAGUUUAGAGGAUGAUGCUUAUCUAUUAAGUUACUGAUAUGCGGGGAGCAAUUCUUGAAUGAUUGCUUGGUUACUUUUAUUGAGCGUGAGUUCUUCUUGCAACUAAAGGACGAUGACAUUAUUGCCCGCUUUCAGAAAGGAGAUCGUAGAGUUAAAUAAUAAAUUUGCUUUGUUCCAAUGUAAUUGAAUUAUUCGAAAAGUUGUCACUAUUAUGAACAAGUUGUAGUUUCGUUCUUAUUGCAAACCUAUAUAUAUAUAUAUUUACAGUAUAUUGUAAGAUUUUUUUGACUUCGAAUACCCAAUAUGAAAAUCCUAGCUCCGCCACUGGUUGUCGUCGUCAUCGAUGUCAACUCCACAUGAUCCUCAACCACCAAGGCCCCUGCACCUCACGUUCCAUUCGCUGUUCAACUCCAGCUCGCCCCCGACGGCAGCCUUCUGGGACGGCUCGUCGCCACCAUGAUCUUCUCCGCGAGCCGGACAUCUUCGCCGCUCCCCGGACCGGUCUUCUCCAUCAACCAAGGUCGUCGUUCCUGGAGUUCGUGUCUCCAUCCUCCAGUGGCGGAGCCAGAAAUUGAAGUUUGUGUAUGUGAUGUCAAACACAUGUACUUUUAUUUAUUUUAAAUAUUUUUUUUUGCAUAAUUUAUACAAACAUACAAAGGAUUUGGUAAAAAGCUAUGUGGUCAAUUGACCACACAGCUUUCCUAUGUGGCUACGCCACUGCCGUCCUCGCGUCAAAUUCCUCACCUCCGUCUUCUCGCGUCGCCCAUGUCCAGCCGUUCAAGGCGUGGCUUUUCUGCAUCCCGAGCUGGCUACGUAUCCCAAUCACAACAACAUCGCUUUGCCGGAUCUGCGUCAUCUAAUCGCUUUGAUCAUAUAUAUACUUGCAGUAGCCCAUCUGGUAUGCCUCCUCUGAAUUCAAACCGUGAGCUCCCAGGGUCAUAUCCCAAUCCCUGCAAUGUAUAAUCCUUUUAUGUAUUCUCCUCUUGUUCAUGUUUCAAUGACAGACGGGUCCCAUCUCUGCAGUUCACCAUCCCAGUCAGCAUCCAAUCAGCCUGGGUCCGGUUCAUCAGUCUCCCAGGCUAGCUGCUACCUUGCAUUUGCUUCUUCCCGGAUAGGAUCACGAAGUGUUGUUGUGAGAUACGACAAGUUCUUCUGCAGCUCUUCACAGGCGAGCCCUCUCUCUUCACCUAUUUUACAUUUUGCUCUCUCUCGCACUGCUAUACAUAGGUUGUGCUUCUUUAUCGAGUCACGUGUCCUAUUCCACUUGUUUACCAUAAUAAUCCUAUAUGUAUCAUUCCUUACCCAUAAUCGUUGCUUCAUGUUUGAGCCUUGCGAGUCGUAGGCGUGUUUAGGCUCUGUUGGUUAUCUCGAUCUGUUAUCGGGAUAUGUUGGGUUGUUGGGAGGUUAUCACAUGCUAUAUCAGUUGUUGGAGAUACACAUGCUUUAUUUAAUUGUUAACAACUAAAAUUGUAAGCAGAGGCAUCUGUGAGCCCCUUUGCGAAAGUAUCAGAACUUUGACUUGCUAAUGUCCCCUAGGACCCGAGUUCUUGUUAUCUGUUCCGAGAUUGAGCGCUCUACCCGUACGUGGGGACGAUUAUUGGGACCCCCCCUCACCCAUUACCUUUUCUCAAGUCAGUUGAAAAGGGGGCCACAACCUUGAUUUUAUUUGCCUAUGCCAUGUAUGCCAUUGUUUACUUACUGUUGCCUUCGGGUGUUUACUUCCUAUUGCCUUCGGGUGUUUAUAUUCUGUACUGUACCCCGUGGGACGUUUAACGAAGUGUGUGGUUUGCACGCCUAGCCGCCGAUGCAAACCCUGAGUCCGUCUCGGAGUACGGCCGAACUUCGUCACGGAUAGCUUAGUUGGGUGGCCCCCCUAGACUUUCUUGUUGAACUAGGAACGGUCUUGUUGUGAGACAUCCACCUGUUGUAAGUGGGUCGAGCAUGCGUAUGGUUACAUUUGGGCAACCCUUGCAUGGUGUACAUCUUAUCGAUAAGCCAUGUCCGCGGUUAUGGACGACUUGGAAUUGUAUAGCUUGAUCAUAGAACAACUUACACCUUUAUGUUGAUGCUAAUAAUUUGCUAACAACUUGUGUAGUAAUAUAGCAUAACUACAGUGGCUACCUAAUAAAACUUGUCCACCGUUGAGUGCCUUUUACAUUGCCUCUUCGCUUUGUUGAAGGGGAUAUGUGUAUUUGGUUGGGUUAUGUUUGUGUAGUAUUUAUCUGUUACCUUAUGCGCUCUCUUAUCUUCUCUGAGUAGACGGAUGUUGUAGCGUGUCUCUAUUGGUUAUAGUUUUGCUGCCGCUAAACCUACCAUAUAGCCCCAGGCGAUAUAUUCGUCCGGCGAGCAUAGCCAUUUCUAGUCUCGCUAAGUACGUGCCGGAGUUCGUUCCUUGGUACUUACUCUCGCCUUUUCUCUUUCUCUUUUGUUUCCUCCCUUUUGUCGGCAACCGAUGGCCCGACAUCGACUGGUACAAGAUGACGAUGUUAGCAAGGUUACCCUUCCAGCUUGGCAUGGGCAGAGUUAUGGACGCCACUGGUUAUCUUCAGGACUCUUAGUCCAAUUUGUAUCUUGUCCGUACUCGGACGUAUUCGAUCUUCUGUAUGAUUUGGAUCUUUGUAUUGUAUAUUUGUAUCUUGACUCGUUGCAGUCGUUGUUGUAAUAUAUGUCUCUU